This 253-nucleotide ribosomal RNA is filed under the name uncultured bacterium. RNAcentral's name for it is "partial 16S ribosomal RNA". It matches the Rfam family "Bacterial small subunit ribosomal RNA", at positions 524 to 776 of the family's 1533-position model. The record is from RNAcentral.
UACGAAGGGUGCCAGCGUUACUCGGAAUUACUGGGCGUAAAGCGUGCGUAGGUGGUGAGUUAAGUCUGUCGUGAAAGCCCCGGGCUCAACCUGGGAAUGGCGAUGGAUACUGGCUCGCUAGAGUGCGGUAGAGGAGAGUGGAAUUCCCGGUGUAGCAGUGAAAUGCGUAGAGAUCGGGAGGAACAUCAGUUGCGAAGGCGGCUCUCUGGACCAGCACUGACACUGAGGCACGAAAGCGUGGGGAGCAAACAGG